AGAGUUUGAUCCUGGCUCAGGAUGAACGCUGGCGGCGUGCUUAACACAUGCAAGUCGAACGAUGAAGCAGAGCUUGCUCUGUGGAUUAGUGGCGAACGGGUGAGUAACACGUGAGUAACCUGCCCUUGACUCUGGAAUAAGCGUUGGAAACGACGUCUAAUACUGGAUACGAGCUUCAGCCGCAUGGCUAGGAGCUGGAAAGAAUUUCGGUCAAGGAUGGACUCGCGGCCUAUCAGGUAGUUGGUGAGGUAAUAGCUCACCAAGCCUACGACGGGUAGCCGGCCUGAGAGGGUGACCGGCCACACUGGAACUGAGACACGGUCCAGACUCCUACGGGAGGCAGCAGUGGGGAAUAUUGCACAAUGGGCGAAAGCCUGAUGCAGCAACGCCGCGUGAGGGACGACGGCCUUCGGGUUGUAAACCUCUUUUAGUAGGGAAGAAGUGAAAGUGACGGUACCUGCAGAAAAAGCACCGGCUAACUACGUGCCAGCAGCCGCGGUAAUACGUAGGGUGCAAGCGUUAUCCGGAAUUAUUGGGCGUAAAGAGCUCGUAGGCGGUUUGUCGCGUCUGCUGUGAAAACUGGAGGCCCAACCUCCAGCCUGCAGUGGGUACGGGCAGACUAGAGUGCGGUAGGGGAGAUUGGAAUUCCUGGUGUAGCGGUGGAAUGCGCAGAUAUCAGGAGGAACACCAAUGGCGAAGGCAGAUCUCUGGGCCGUAACUGACGCUGAGGAGCGAAAGCAUGGGGAGCGAACAGGAUUAGAUACCCUGGUAGUCCAUGCCGUAAACGUUGGGAACUAGAUGUAGGGACCAUUCCACGGUUUCUGUGUCGCAGCUAACGCAUUAAGUUCCCCGCCUGGA
RNAcentral lists this ribosomal RNA (858 nucleotides) under uncultured bacterium. RNAcentral's name for it is "bacterial SSU rRNA". It matches the Rfam family "Bacterial small subunit ribosomal RNA", at positions 9 to 873 of the family's 1533-position model. The record is from RNAcentral.